This 535-nucleotide ribosomal RNA is filed under the name Thioprofundum sp. RNAcentral describes it as "bacterial SSU rRNA". It matches the Rfam family "Bacterial small subunit ribosomal RNA", at positions 198 to 724 of the family's 1533-position model. The record is from RNAcentral. Lineage: Bacteria; Pseudomonadati; Pseudomonadota; Gammaproteobacteria; Chromatiales; Thioprofundaceae.
AGGGGAUCGUAAGACCUUGCGCUGAUGGAUGAGCCGAAGUCGGAUUAGCUAGUUGGUGAGGUAACGGCUCACCAAGGCGACGAUCCGUAGCUGGUCUGAGAGGACGACCAGCCACACUGGGACUGAGACACGGCCCAGACUCCUACGGGAGGCAGCAGUGGGGAAUAUUGGACAAUGGGGGCAACCCUGAUCCAGCGACGCCGCGUGUGUGAAGAAGGCCUGCGGGUUGUAAAGCACUUUUAGUGGGGAUGAAAUGUGCAGGGUUAAUACCUCUGCAUUUUGACCUAACCCACAGAAAAAGCACCGGCUAACUCUGUGCCAGCAGCCGCGGUAAUACAGAGGGUGCAAGCGUUAAUCGGAAUUACUGGGCGUAAAGCGUGCGCAGACGGUUACAUAAGUCGGGUGUGAAAGCCCCGGGCUCAACCUGGGAAUUGCAUUCGAGACUGUGUAGCUAGGGUACGGAAGAGGGAAGCGGAAUUUCAGGUGUAGCGGUGAAAUGCGUAGAUAUCUGAAGGAACACCAGUGGCGAAAGCGG